GGCGGCGCUACCUGCAGUCGACGGUAGCACAGAGAGCUUGCUCUCGGGUGACGAGUGGCGGACGGGUGAGUAAUGUCUGGGAAACUGCCUGAUGGAGGGGGAUAACUACUGGAAACGGUAGCUAAUACCGCAUAACGUCGCAAGACCAAAGAGGGGGACCUUCGGGCCUCUUGCCAUCAGAUGUGCCCAGAUGGGAUUAGCUAGUAGGUGGGGUAACGGCUCACCUAGGCGACGAUCCCUAGCUGGUCUGAGAGGAUGACCAGCCACACUGGAACUGAGACACGGUCCAGACUCCUACGGGAGGCAGCAGUGGGGAAUAUUGCACAAUGGGCGCAAGCCUGAUGCAGCCAUGCCGCGUGUAUGAAGAAGGCCUUCGGGUUGUAAAGUACUUUCAGCGGGGAGGAAGGUGUUGUGGUUAAUAACCACAGCAAUUGACGUUACCCGCAGAAGAAGCACCGGCUAACUCCGUGCCAGCAGCCGCGGUAAUACGGAGGGUGCAAGCGUUAAUCGGAAUUACUGGGCGUAAAGCGCACGCAGGCGGUCUGUCAAGUCGGAUGUGAAAUCCCCGGGCUCAACCUGGGAACUGCAUUCGAAACUGGC
This 600-nucleotide ribosomal RNA is filed under the name Enterobacter cloacae. Its description in RNAcentral is "bacterial SSU rRNA". It matches the Rfam family "Bacterial small subunit ribosomal RNA", at positions 41 to 637 of the family's 1533-position model. Lineage: Bacteria; Pseudomonadati; Pseudomonadota; Gammaproteobacteria; Enterobacterales; Enterobacteriaceae. The record is from RNAcentral.